GGAGGCGCGAGUUUGAGCGCCGCGCGCGCGCCGCUCUCCUCUCUGCUUUUCCCCGUUCCCUGGCGGCCCGCCCCCUCGGGCUCCCGCCAACCUCAGGGGCCUCGGCCUAGGGCCCCAGCACCCGCCCCUCGGAUGGGGUCUGUGCUCGCAAAAGGGAGGGCACGCCCUGUUUCUACAUCGAGAUAGGCGGAGGCGAAGGACCGCAACGAACACAUAGGUGGCAGAUGAGUGAUCCACACAGUUGAUCCAGCUUGUUACUUUCUUUCGAGCGUGUGACAUGUUGACAGCCACACUCUAACCAAAGAAGAUCAACUUGGGACCGGAAUCGUCAGUUCACACCUCCCCUUUGCAAUGAGCUUUGAUGAACAUCAUGAUAAAAUCAGACUAUUGCUCUGAAUGUUGGCAGACAGACACCUUCCUCCUCCUGCCUGUUGAGUGCUGGGAGUGCAGCAUGCAGGCUUAAGAGCAGCUUUCUCAAUGAAAAGAUUUUAUGAAUCACUGACAAAUUUGAUCCCUAAAUAAAUUGCCG
Rattus norvegicus (Norway rat) is the source of this 529-nucleotide long non-coding RNA. The record is from Ensembl. Lineage: Eukaryota; Metazoa; Chordata; Mammalia; Rodentia; Muridae.